This 320-nucleotide ribosomal RNA is filed under the name Vibrio vulnificus. RNAcentral's name for it is "partial 23S ribosomal RNA". It matches the Rfam family "Bacterial large subunit ribosomal RNA", at positions 1 to 365 of the family's 2925-position model. Lineage: Bacteria; Pseudomonadati; Pseudomonadota; Gammaproteobacteria; Vibrionales; Vibrionaceae. The record is from RNAcentral.
GGUUAAGUGACUAAGCGUACACGGUGGAUGCCUUGGCAGUCAGAGGCGAUGAAGGACGUAGUAACUUGCGAUAAGCGUAGAUGAGGCAGUAACAGCCACUUGAGUCUACGAUUUCCGAAUGGGGAAACCCACUGGCAUAAGCCAGUAUCAUUGAGUGAAUACAUAGCUCAAUGAAGCGAACCGGGAGAACUGAAACAUCUAAGUACCCCGAGGAAAAGAAAUCAACCGAGAUUCCGAAAGUAGCGGCGAGCGAAAUUGGAUUAGCCCUUAAGCUUUACAUGUGUUAGACGAACGGUCUGGAAAGUCCGACGAUACAGGGU